RNAcentral lists this ribosomal RNA (249 nucleotides) under uncultured bacterium. Its description in RNAcentral is "partial 16S ribosomal RNA". It matches the Rfam family "Bacterial small subunit ribosomal RNA", at positions 15 to 244 of the family's 1533-position model. The record is from RNAcentral.
GAUCAUGGCUCAGGAUGAACGCUGGCGGCGUGCUUAAUACAUGCAAGUCGAACGAAGCACCUUGGACAGAAUCCUUCGGGAGGAAGACCAUUGUGACUGAGUGGCGGACGGGUGAGUAACGCGUGGGUAACCUGCCUUGUACAGGGGGAUAACAGUUGGAAACGACUGCUAAUACCGCAUAAGCGCACAGUACCGCAAGGUACGGUGUGAAAAACUCCGGUGGUACAAGAUGGACCCGCGUCUGAUUAG